RNAcentral lists this ribosomal RNA (378 nucleotides) under uncultured bacterium. RNAcentral's name for it is "bacterial SSU rRNA". It matches the Rfam family "Bacterial small subunit ribosomal RNA", at positions 523 to 898 of the family's 1533-position model. The record is from RNAcentral.
AUACGUAGGGUGCGAGCGUUGUCCGGAAUUACUGGGCGUAAAGAGCUCGUAGGCGGUUUGUCGCGUCGUCUGUGAAAUCCCGCAGCUCAACUGCGGGCUUGCAGGCGAUACGGGCAGACUCGAGUACUGCAGGGGAGACUGGAAUUCCUGGUGUAGCGGUGAAAUGCGCAGAUAUCAGGAGGAACACCGGUGGCGAAGGCGGGUCUCUGGGCAGUAACUGACGCUGAGGAGCGAAAGCGUGGGUAGCGAACAGGAUUAGAUACCCUGGUAGUCCACGCCGUAAACGGUGGGCGCUAGGUGUGGGUUUCCUUCCACGGGAUCCGUGCCGUAGCUAACGCAUUAAGCGCCCCGCCUGGGGAGUACGGCCGCAAGGCUAAA